RNAcentral lists this non-coding RNA (21 nucleotides) under Arabidopsis thaliana (thale cress). Lineage: Eukaryota; Viridiplantae; Streptophyta; Magnoliopsida; Brassicales; Brassicaceae. The record is from RNAcentral.
UGUUAUGGGCAAUGGAAUGCA